CUUGUUUGCUUCAUAGGCCUACUGGAACCUGGAAUUUGUGACUUAAAAGGUCUGUUGGUAUAUUCCUCAUGUACCUCACCAGUCAGUGCAAGUAAGAGAGCUGGGGUUUUUCUGUCCACAUACUUCUAACAAUCUUCAACUCUCUAAAAGAGACAAAAAUUAUGUACGUUUUUCUCUUCUAAGCUAAUGAGUUGUUUCUAUAAUGGCAUUGUGAGGGAGUCUGUUGGUUACCUGGGCCUUUUUGUAGCUGUAGAAUUUAUUGCCCAUGACACAGAGCAUGCCUUUCAUCAUACUUUUGUGGUGUAAAGGCUGAACCUUGUCACAAAACUCUUGCAUGGGACAGGUCUAAAUUUAGGCAACGUAAGUAAUCUCAGCAGCUACUGUUUUGAACUUGCAUGUUAGCAGGUGGAACUUUGCCAGGUUCUGGUUCAAUUUAGAUGUAAUUUUAAAUGAAGCAUUUAAUUUACUUAGAGAAGAUCUAUCCCACUCUUGUCUAGAACAAUUAUCUCUUUUGCAAAAACAAAAUGGUCUCCCUUAUAGCUAAAAUACAUAUGUUGUCUUACCUUAUAAAGUUACUGUCAGCUGCUUUUCCCCUACUAAUUUAUAAAUGGAAAUUUUCUUCUUUCUUCACUCUCAAUGCUUCUAAGUGGCAUAUAAUAGAAAAGGUGCUUGGUUUCUCUCCCAGAACAUAGCUGAACAAAUAAUCAUUGCUGUUUGUCUUCUAACCAUUUAUCUUCAACCAUGCCAGAUACUGAAAUAUUAGCUUCUACUAAUUUGCAGAACUGACAUAUUCUAAUAAGGAAUCCUAAUAAAACCAGCUCAUUACUUCUAUUCCUUUUAAACAUUAAAUUUAAAUUACAUGGUGGAAACAAUUGUAUUAGAAACACUUUUAUAAUUAAGAAGUUAUUAAGAAUUACUAAAAUCCUCCUUAUGCAUACUUAUGUCAUCUUAUACUUUUAUCUGUGUGUCUUAAGGCUCUAAUGGCACUAGAAAUAUCUCACAAUGCAUCUCUCCAUAAUUCCCACUGGUAUGCUGAAAGAUAGUAUUAAGAAGAUCAUUAAGAGCAUAGUCUCUUUAUGUUCCCAUAAGCUUUCCAUUAAUUUGCAUUUAGCUGUCUAAACUACAGCAAAGUUAAUAUUUACAGCAAGUUAAUACCUUGCUAAUAGAAAUGUGAAUCACACUUAUUCCUCCUGGUUAUUAAUACUCCUGUCUGGGCACAGAUGUGUUUUCAUAGGAUGAGUCUGGUUGCUAGAUAUGUGCUGAUGACAAGUGCACCCAGAAUUUUCCUGGGCACCCUCAAUUCAUAAGAGCAUUCUGUCCUAAAAGCUUAAUUGUGCGUCAAGCUGUGAAGCCCUUCUAUGUUUGGAAAUGCCCUUGCAGAGUGGUGUUGGGAGCAAUAGCAAGUAGGCUUUACUGUAGAUAAACAUAGUGCAUGUAUUGAAGAGCCCAUUGGUUGAGCCCAUGGGAUGUAUACAGCUCAUUUUUGGAAGGCAUGCAUAUCCUGUGCAUCUAGCAGUGGGCUUGAGGUUACAACCCAGGCACAGAGAAGAAGAGGUAUGUGUUUGUUAAAGCAAUUAAAUGAGGCUUUCUGUGCAUUUGGGCAUGCAUUGCUGUGUUUUAUCAAAAACUGGAAGCACAGAUUUGGAUGAAAUUGCAGGAUUCCAUAAGCUGGUACUUCAGGCAUGAAUCUUCUGUGCCUGUACUACCAGGCUGCUGCUUUUAUUGCUGGUAAGGAAAGGAACAAUGCUAUAAUCUUUCCAGAUGCGAUGAAACAAAUAUUUUGCUAGAAUAAAACAUAUUUGCAUCUAUUUGCUACAGUCUGAAGAGAUGUGUUUUCUUCCAUCAGAUGGCAAGGCAGUGAAUUUCAUUGAUUCAACUUGUUUCUCACUGCCAGCAGCCUUCUGUGCCUUACAGAUCUGUUUUUGCUGAGACCAUUUCUAAUGUUCAAAAGUUGGAAGCAGUUUUAAUCUGCUUGUUUAAAAGCUGUCAGAAAGCUGACGAGAAGGAAUGUUUUCUUUAAGUAGCCCCAGGCUUCCCAUCUGAUCCUGGGCUGUGCUCCUGGUAGGAAUGGGGACCCAGCUUAAGACCAGAGAAAGCUGAGGCAAGUGUUGUUGCUUAGCACAAGAUCCAGUUUUAUUGUGCACUGGUUGGAGCCCCAGUGAACUUUGGUGAUAAUAUUAAAUGUGGCUUUUUCAUCAGGUCCUCGGGGAAACUGUUACAGAAGAUUUUAAUAUUUUCUUUUUGAAAGUCCUGAGGAUCAGGCACUAACACUUUGUAUGUUGUCAUAGCAUGUCUCAAAGCACUGCUGCAUUUGUGUGAAGGAUCACUGAGCAGUCGUAUCAUGAAAGGGAAAACAAACUCUCAAUUGCUUUUGGUUGUACCAACUGCACUGCGGUAUUUGUUUAAAUGAAAGCUUUUAGCAUAAAUAGCUAUGCAUCCAGAAACCAAUUUAAGUUUUGAGAGUUCUACCUAAAAUUUCUAUUUGCUUCCAUAACAGCUGUAAGGAUGAAAUAAACUGGAUAGUCUGACAGGAGCCCAUAUGCCCCUUCUCAUGUUAGAGCUAUAACCAUCAGCUCAUGGCACACUAUUGCACUAGCAAUAAAAUGUUUCUAAGCUACGUAAUAAAGGUGUUCAGGUGUUGGUCUCUCAGAUGCUGAAGAAGUCAAGCUGCAUUUAAUUGAAAAUCUUCUCAGCUCAGGUCAUGACAUAAGAGAAACUGUAAUGUAGGAGAGGUAAGUAUAGUGUUAAUGUCAGUUGUAACUUUCUCUGAGGUAUGUAACACUUUGGUUUUGUUUAUGAAUACACAUAAACUGUAACUGGAAAUAACCUCCUAACUGUUUCUUAUUUAAGUGGAGAGGGAACUUAUUUGUGGGCAAACUGCCUGGAAUGGUUGCUCAUCACUUUACUACUGAUUGAUCAUGGUUAUGCAGAAAUAUGCCUUUAUACUUUGCUUGCUCAAAUAUGUAGCAACAGAGGAUAUUGUGUAUAUGAAUGAUGUUUGCACGUGAUUUGUUUAAAAGAACAAGGUCUGCUUGAGAAGAAGUAAAUCUGGCAAGUCAGAGCUAGUUCAUGGUACAGUAAAUUAUUCCAGCCUUCCUGAAAAUGAGUAUCUGGAUACAAUAACAACAUUAGCAUAAACCCCCAACACUAGAGUUUUAAUAAGCUCAAAGGUGUUACCACAACCCUUUACAACACAAUUUUUUUAUUUUUGAACUUCUAAACACAAUUUAGAUGACUGUCAGAUCUGACUUUUAGGAAUUUAGGUAAUCGCAAGUAUAACAAAUGCUAACUUCCAUUGCCAUAUAUGUAAGCAAAACAGUGUUCUACUAUAACUUUACAGAAGUAAGAAGAAAUAGAGAUUUAGCAAGAGGUUUAAUUUUGCUUCACUUGCAUUUAGUUCUUCAGGCUUAUGUUUCUCAUUUUAGCUGGCUUCUGAGUUAUGCCUGACAUUGUAGCAUAAGGAAGGUUUAUACAAUUCUCAGAGCUUGUUCCUAAGUAAUCUUUUAGAGACAUGGAUUUUCUUAAUUGAUUUUUUUUUUCCCCACAAUCCUGUUAGGAUAAUAAAAUGGAGGCAGCUAUUCUUUACCUGAAGACAUAUCAACCUAGUGGCAUUUGUCUUCAGCUUAGGAAUAUAAAGUAGUAGGAGACUGAUUAAAACAAAAUCUUGUAUCCUUGCAAAUGUUACCACUGUCAUGUCCUCCUAAGUUCUGGUUUGUGUUGGUAUUGACCUUGGGUGCUUCAGUGGUACCAGAGUCAGAAAGAAAGAUGUCUAUUAUUACUAUUAAUCAAUACCUACAGAGGAGUGUCUGGGACCAAUUAUGAUGUAUUCUAAAGGGAAAAUCAGGACUAUCUGGAAUAAAAUAAACAUUGGCAAUAUUACUUUGUGGGAAGGAAGCACAGAGUGCUUAGCCCUCCAUAUCUAGUUGAGGUGUUGCUGCUGUAAUAGGAGAUCCUGAAGUUGUUUUUUUUACCUUUAUUUUCCUUUUUUUCCCCCUACCUGGAGGUCUUGUUUACAGAGAGUGAUGUUUGAUAACAGGGUUACAGCUGAAGCUGACACCAAAAGGUGUAAUUUCAUUCAGAAUUGCUUAUUUUGGCACAAGAAUAAAAACAGCUAAUGCAAUUUUAAAAAAUCUUUAAGAUUCAAAGAUAGGGGAUAGGUAACAAUGACUGUGAUUAUGGGGCUUGAGAUUCAUAGCUCACUUGUUAUUUACUCUCUAGGAUUCUAGUGGGAUCCCAGAGCUAUGUAUUAUUGGAAUUUAUGGACAAAUGGCAAUGUAGCAACAUACUGAGUUGUUGCAAAUGUCCAUAUUUGCAGUGUUUUGAUGGAAGACUCUGUGGAAAUUAAUUACCUAAUUUGGUUUGGUUUCUUUGAUGCUCGCAGAUUCCUCGUGAGCUUAUGCAGA
This 4403-nucleotide long non-coding RNA is filed under the name Taeniopygia guttata (zebra finch). RNAcentral describes it as "lncRNA (ENSTGUG00000026023.1)". The record is from RNAcentral. Lineage: Eukaryota; Metazoa; Chordata; Aves; Passeriformes; Estrildidae.